AGAGUUUGAUCCUGGCUCAGGACGAACGCUGGCGGCGUGCUUAACACAUGCAAGUCGAACGAGAAUCUGCGGAACGAGGAUUCGUCCAAGUGAAGCAGAGGACAGUGGCGGACGGGUGAGUAACGCGUGAGGAACCUGCCUUUCAGAGGGGACAACAGUUGGAAACGACUGCCUAAUACCGCAUGACACAUAGAUGCCGCAUGGCAUUUAUGUCAAAG
RNAcentral lists this ribosomal RNA (218 nucleotides) under uncultured bacterium. RNAcentral describes it as "partial 16S ribosomal RNA". It matches the Rfam family "Bacterial small subunit ribosomal RNA", at positions 8 to 206 of the family's 1533-position model. The record is from RNAcentral.